UUACCUCGCAGUCCUCGUACUUGAUAUUAUCCGUCAGUUUCCAAAGCAUUUUCAUGGAUCGGCGUGAACGGAUUUGCCCCCUUCUCCGCCUCGCACCCAAGUGGAGCUACUCUCUGGCUCUUUACCAACAGCCUAAUCGCCUCAUUAGCAUAUCAACAAUAGUCCAAUUGCUCGCCAGCACCGCAAUCUGCGGCCGGCCGUUCCGACCCAGGUAUAAAGGCCUCUCCAAGCCGCGAACUUGCUCCUAGAGCGCACGCCUGCCUGUGAGCGGACGGAAUCUCCCCGGAGACCAGCCGCGCGCCCCUGCCCCAGUCACCCCCCAGCCCCCGCCGCUGCCCCAUUCCACCCCACUCCCCUUCCUCUCCGUCUCCUCCUCCAGGGAGAUGCCCUCCGCAACAACAACGACAACAACAAAAAACCUGCGCUGUGCAGGGUCCGAGCGGCUGCGCCUGGGGCCCAGCUUUCAGCACCUCUCCCUCACCCCUACCACCGCUAACCGCGCGGUCCUUUCGGCCCCGUCCAAUUUUAUUAGAAAUUAUUAUCCCUUUCGCAAUUAAAUAUAAUCACCAAACCAAGACCGGCAAAGUCACUCCAGGAUUUUUGCCCAACAAGAGAUCGCCUCCGCUCGCGGCAGCCUCCACCUCGGGCCCCAGCGCCUUGGGAGUUUUAUUGGCUUUGCGCUCCCCCCACCCCACCCCCAAGUUGAAGAUUUUGCCAAACGGCUCCAGUGGCUCGGCUGGGGUUUGCGAUCCUUUAAUUGCCGCGUGUAAAAUAAAAAUUGUACCCUGAAGAGGUUAGUUGACAGCUCCAGGGGUUAAAUGAUUUUCCUCUCGUUUGUAUGAAGCUAGAGCUGACUGAUAAUUCAACGUGGUGUUUGGGCUAAGGGUUUCCUAGGUGCGAUGUGGACAAAAUACAGAACUCCUAUGGAGUCUCACAGUCGCUUCUGGAGUUGAGCCGAUAUACCGACAUGUGUGCGCCGUGUCAUUCAUGCAUCAAAAUAAAUCGCUGGGAACCAA
Molecule: long non-coding RNA, 1016 nt
Organism: Leopardus geoffroyi (Geoffroy's cat)
Lineage: Eukaryota; Metazoa; Chordata; Mammalia; Carnivora; Felidae
Exons: 2
Source: RefSeq, a predicted model, not a curated record